UCUUGUCCCUAUCCUCUCCUGCAACAGUUCUCUUUGAUGCUGUCUUUGUUAUCUGUACUCAUCUGUUCAAUAUAUUCUAUGUGCGUUCCUUCGUUGUUGCCUGUUAUUAUUGAUAAGAAUUUCUCUCCUAUUGCCUUCUUUUACCUCUUCAAGGUCAAUGUGUUGUAUGUCAGUAUGAUACUGAGCUGGAGGUUGUUACAGAAAACUUCGAAUCGAAUCCUCAAAAAUCAAUCUGUGAAACCCAUCUAUCAUUUACGGUCUUUGGCUAGUAGCUCACACAGUAAUAAUAGUGUACAAAUUUCUAAGGCAUUUUCCCAUUCAGAACUUCCAGUGAGGCGUCAACUCACUCCACAAAUUGUGGAGGCAACCUUAUUGAAUUGUCCUUCUGAUAUUAUCUCAUUGAGUUUUUUCUUAUGGUGCGCUCGUCAACCGAAUUACUUUCAUAAUCGCGAGUCUUUCGACCAAAUGGUUGUUGUUGUCUCUCGUCUCACUGAUCGGCUGAAAUCCGUCAAAGCGCUUGUUAGAGAGUUAGAACAUUUUGGGUGUUAUACAAAGCCACAAACUUUUUUGAUUUUGUUAAGAAUCUCUUGGCGUGGAGGAAUGUAUAGAUUGGUUUUGGAGGCUUUUGAGGAGAUGGUUGGUUCCGGUUACCUUCCAAACACCUUUGCACGAAAUAUGGUUAUGGAUGUCUUCUUCAAGAUUGGGCAUGUUGAUGCUGCCCUUGGGGUAUUGAGAGAUACACGACUACCAAAUUUCCUGACUUUUAACAUUGCAAUCUGUAAUCUUUGUAAGUUGAAAAACUUGUCUGUCCUUUGGGAUGUUUUACAAAUGAUGUUGAGACGGGGUUUUUAUCCAAACAUAGAGACUUUUGUAAUGAUUUUGAAUUGUUUCUGCAAAAGUGGUAAGCUUGUAGAGUCAUUACAAGUGUUGGCAUUUAUGAUAACUUCGGGUAUUCCCAUUUCGGUGACUGCUUGGAGUAUAUUGAUUGAUGGAUUAAGCAGGGUUGGUAGACUUGAUGAAGCGAGCCAUUUAUUGAAGAAGAUGAUUGAGAUUGGUCUUUGUCCUACUGUUGUAACCUAUACUUCUUUGAUUAAGGGGUUUAUGGGAUCCCAUAUGUUGGAUAGGGCGUAUGGAAUUUUAAAUACCAUGGAAUCUGGAGGGUGCUUGCCUGACGUGGUUCUAUGUAAUGUGUUAAUAGACUCUCUGUCUAAGAUUGGAAGGUAUGAUGAUGCACUUGACAUCUUCUUUGGGUUGCAUAAAGUGAACCUAAAACCUGAUUCAUAUAGCUUUUCUUCUGUAUUGUCUGCUCUAUGUUUGUCACGAAGAUUUGCACUUUUUCCCCGGUUGGUUAGGGGACUUGUUGUAUCAGCUGACCUUGUUGUCUGCAACUCCCUUCUAUGUUUUUUAAGCAAAGCGGGAUUCCCUUCACAAGCUGUAGAUUUCUAUAAUGUCAUGGUAGAAAGAGAUUUUACCCCAGAUGGGUAUAGUUAUGCUGCACUGUUAAGUGGAUUAUGCAGAGCAGGAAGAAUUGAAGAAUCAGUUACUGUUUACCAUGGGAUUGUCAUGAAUAAUUCUAGUAUUGAUGCUCACAUCCAUACCGUGAUCAUUGGUGAGCUCAUUAAAGUAGGUAAGAUUAAUAUAGCCAUCAGGUUGUUCAGGAAGGCAGUUGCUGAAAAGUACCCCCUAGAUGUUGUGUCGUAUACCGUCGCAAUCCAUGGACUUCUCCAGGGAGGUAGAACUGGAGAGGCUCUGACAUUGUAUGUACAGAUGAAGGAGGUUGGUGUAGUUCCUAAUACAUAUACAUGCAAUGUAAUGCUCUAUGGCCUUUGUAAAUUGAGGGAUUUGAAGUCAAUCAAGUGGUUACUAAGAGACAUGGCUGAAGUUGGGAUUGAUCAUGACUCUGUUACGUUGAAUAUUAUCAUCUAUUUCCUGGUGAAGUCCAACCGUUUUGAUUCAGUUAUUCACCUGUUAGCCGAGUUGCAGGAUUUGGGGUUUAUGCCAAAUAAAGCCACACAUGAGAUAUUACUUGAUGGUCUUGCCCGGGCUGGUGAAGUUGGUGAUUCAUGUUAUCCGUCAUUGAAAGAUUAUUUGGAGGAUAUAAUGAUUGUGGACGGAACAGACUCUGAUGACCUUCAUGAUGUGGCUGGAUCAGUAGUUUGAAUGGUAUUUGGAAAAGAGUUUUCUUUCUAUUGGUAGGAGCUGGAAUUGCUGUUGGUCUCGUACAAUCUAUAGGCUAUUAGAUACUCGGGGAAUCCCAAAGGUGAAUUUUGGUUGUUAAGGGACAAAUUUUCGAAGGAUGGUUGAGCUUCUUUUUGAAGAUAUUUUUACUGUGACUCGGUUGGAUCCAGAUGG
Macadamia integrifolia is the source of this 2352-nucleotide RNA transcript. It is a transcript of the gene named DNA-directed RNA polymerases II, IV and V subunit 8B-like, with no coding region annotated. The transcript is spliced from 2 exons. NCBI's taxonomy places the organism in Eukaryota, Viridiplantae, Streptophyta, Magnoliopsida, Proteales, Proteaceae. The record is from RefSeq and is a predicted model, not a curated record.